GUUGAUAAUUUUACACUUUAAGAAUUCUGUAUUAUAAAGCAUAUUGCUCUUGCGGGAAUUCUUUCCAAUCCAAGGACUGAUUGAACUUUUCCCCACAAAUCUUCACAUUCUACUGUUUCUUUAUCCACAUCUUCCUCAACAACCGCAUCCACUGUAAAAGAGUCAAUUUAGCCAAUUAAAAAUUGGUACUUUAUAAAUACACCA
Non-coding RNA from Ciona intestinalis (vase tunicate), 204 nucleotides. The record is from RefSeq and is a predicted model, not a curated record. NCBI's taxonomy places the organism in Eukaryota, Metazoa, Chordata, Ascidiacea, Phlebobranchia, Cionidae.